Molecule: ribosomal RNA, 253 nt
Filed under: uncultured bacterium
Lineage: Bacteria
Description: partial 16S ribosomal RNA
Rfam family: Bacterial small subunit ribosomal RNA
Source: RNAcentral
UACGUAGGGGGCGAGCGUUGUCCGGAUUUAUUGGGCGUAAAGAGCGUGUAGGCGGCUAGGUAGGUCCGUUGUGAAAACUCGAGCUCAACCUCGAGACGCCGGUGGAAACCAUCUAGCUAGAGUCCGGAAGAGGAGAGUGGAAUUCCUGGUGUAGCGGUGAAAUGACGCAGAUAUCAGGAAGAACACCCGUGGCGAAGGCGGCUCUCUGGGACGUGACUGACGCUGAGACGCGAAAGCGUGGGGAGCGAACAGG